This 66-nucleotide transfer RNA is filed under the name Eutrichosiphum pasaniae. RNAcentral's name for it is "tRNA-Asp". Lineage: Eukaryota; Metazoa; Arthropoda; Insecta; Hemiptera; Aphididae. The record is from RNAcentral.
AAGAGAUUAGUUAAACUUAUAACAUUAAUUUGUCAAAUUAAAAUUAUUUUUAAAAAAUAUCACUUA